Molecule: long non-coding RNA, 8073 nt
Organism: Gallus gallus (chicken)
Lineage: Eukaryota; Metazoa; Chordata; Aves; Galliformes; Phasianidae
Exons: 12
Source: RefSeq, a predicted model, not a curated record
AAUUAUCCACAGCCUCUUAUAGCUUUUUCAGUGUGUGACAGUGUAUCCUAGCUUAGUCCUUUUUAUAGCUUCUGUAGUUUGCAGUUUGAUGUGAUCCCCCUUAGUUUGUAUAGCUCUUCUAGGUUUUCAUGAUUCCUGGAGCAUCUAUAGCUCACCAAUAGCCUUCCCUGAGAUCUUAUAGUUUCUGGUAUUUUGUAAUCUUUCCAAACCACAUUCUCCUGCAGCUCUUUAGAAGCUCUACAACACCUUAUAGCUUUUAUGGUUCUUACAGUCUUCCUGUAAAUCCUCUGUCUUCCCCUCCAUGGUUCCUAUAGAUUCUAUAGUCUCCCAGGUCCCCGUCUGCAACUCUUCUCUGUGUCCUUCCAUAGCCUCUAUAGCUCCUCCUGUACUCCCCUAUAGCUCCUUUGACCCCUCUCUUCAGUUUGCUGUACAUCCUGUAAACCCUCUAUAUCUUCUAUAGCUGUCUCACUGACUGUAAUUGUUCCUGUAGACCCUACACAGCUUCCUGUAGCCCUCCAUGUGUCCCCCUUGACCUUGCUUUAUACCUGCGUACCUGCCACUGCCCUGCCAGGACGCUUGCAUCCCCCUGACAGACUUGUCAUGACCCCCAUGUCCCGAGGUCAUCCAUGGUGAAGCCCUUUCCCCUAUGGCCCCUGCCAUGUCACCAUCACUUCUGCUCCCCAGUGUCUUCCAGACAUCCCCAAGGUGUUACCCUCAGCCUUUACCCCCGCGUGUCCAUUUCCCCAGGGUGUCACCCUCAGCCCUGACUCCCAUGUCCACAGUGUCACCUUCAGUCCUGACCCCCACGUCCUCAAGUUGCCUCAAUCCUUUUCCCAAUGUCCUCAUGUUCCCAGGGUGUCACCCUCAGCCUUGACCUCUGUGUCCUCAAGAUGUUACCCUCAGCCCUGACCCUUGUGUCCGCAGGGUGUCACCCCGCUGCAGGUGGUGCUGGCUGAUACUGCCCUGCGCCUUCGAGCCUUGCUUGGCUUUGAGGAUGAGGAUGGGAACAAGUUUGUGGCAGGUGAUGAGUGGCUCUUCGAGGGUCCUGCUGAGCAGGGGACACACUCUGAGGACACCCUGGGGACAUCUUAGGGUGCUGAUGGUGCCCUGGCCCCACAGGCAUCUACAUCCCCCACAAGGAGGUAGAGAUGGUUGAGACAUUGCAGGCCACUGUCAUCAGACACAACCAGGCCAUCCACCUGUGGGCGUGCAAGGAGUGCCUUGACUGUCAGGGCACGCAGCGUGUCACACAUAGUGCCCUUGGGAUUGUCUCUUCCCACUCUAAUGGCCCUUGGGAUCAUCUCUCCCACCUUUGGGAUCAUCCCAUCUCACUCUGAUGACUGGUGGGAUUGUCCCUUCUCACCCAAAUGACUCUAGGGAUAGUCCCGUCCCACCUUAAUGAUCCCAGACACUGUUAAGAUCAUCUCAUCCCACCCUAAUGACCCUUAGUUUUGUCCCUUCCCACCUUUGGAGUUGUCUUAUCCCACCCUAAUGACACUUGAGAUUGUCCAGUCCCACCCUUAGGACCCCAGACAUCCUUAGGUUUGUCCCAUAGGACCCCCAGCACCCCUCAGACCACUUCCCAACCCAAAUCUCCGCAACCCUCCCAGUUUCCCCCAGUCUGCACCGGUGCCCUUAACUCCUUGAUCACCCCGUAACACUGUUUCCAGGCGAGGAGUGGCUGGUGAAGCAGGUGGGUGCCUACCUGCCAGGGGUCUACGAGGAGGUGGUCGACAUCAUGGAUGCCUAUGUCCUCACUGACAAGAUACAGGGACAUGAGACCCCCAAUGGUCUCUCCCACACCCAUGGGUGACAGGGACAUUCCAGGACUGAUUUUUUUGCCCUGAACCCGUAUCUGGGACAUGUUUAGGUGUCCCAUCAGUCUGUCUCCUUGCACACGCAGGUGACAGAGACCCCCUGGGACAGAUUUGGGGUCCCAUCGUGCACUUUGCCUCCAUUUGUCCCAUAGAAAGCCCUCUACCUGUGAGCUACCCGGACCUUUGAGGAUGCACAGGGACACAUGUGCCACACGGGCGAGGAGUGGCUGGUGACACAGGAGCAGAGUGAGGCUUACGUCCCUGAUGUCUUCAAGAAGAUGGUGGCUGAGGUGCUGGUGACAACUUUGGGUCCCUGACAAUACUGUGUGGUGCUUGACCUUGUGGGACCCAACAGGCAGCCCCAGUUAGAACAGCAGCAUGUGGUCAAGCUGGGUGAACAGCUCCAAGCUGGCAUCGAGGACGUCUGUGUACUCUCUGAGGAUGAGGGGCUGCUUCUUCAGGCUCUGCAGGCAAUCAAGGACACCGAUGAGGAUGGGACGGAGGUGAUAUGACAUGCAGGGGACUGCUGACUGUCCCGAGGUCCUCUCGAGUACCUGCCACUAGCCAAGGUGUGGGUGGUGACAGGGCAGACCUACAUGCUAACAGAGGCUGAGGAGCUGUGAGAGAAGGAGCUGUCCCCUGAGGUUGAGGCCCUGUUAGCUGACGCUCGUGGGGACACAGCUGGUCAAGAUUCAGUCAUCCAGUCAUCCUCAGGCCCCAGUUUUGGAGUCCAGGAGUGGGACCGGACCCAUGCCAUCACAUAUCAGAGCAGUACUGGGCCCUGAGCUGGUGGUGCUGGGCCCUGGCAAGCAGCUGACAGUGCUGUCCCAAUCUGAAGGCCUCACAUGCACCGCAGCCUCUGCCUGCGCCUCGGCCCUGACUUCUGUGCUGACAUUGUCACCAUUGAGACAGCUGACCAUGCAGGGCUGCAGCUGCAGCUGGCCUACAACUGGCAAUUUGAGGUGCCUGAGGAUCCAAAGGCUCUGGGACAUCUCUUCAGUGUCCCUGACUUUGUGGGGUUGCCUGCAAGGCCCUGGCCUCCUGUGUGCAUGGAGCUGUUGCUGCUGUCACAUUUCCACAAGGUCCUCUCUGUCACCUCUCUGCCACCCCAUCACCCCUUGGUCCCUCCACUUUUCACCCAUGCUUCCCCCAGCCACGUCACCCUAAGUCACUGCUCUGUCACCUGCAUUCUCUUGUGUCACCUCCACCUAUGUCCCCACAUUUUGUUUGUGUGACCUUGACUUGCUCAGAUGUCACCAGAAUGAAGUUCCCCAUGUCCUCCUGAGUCUCUGCUGUCUCCAAGAGCCUCUGGGACAUCAACAGAAUUCCCAACAUCCCUGUUCGGCUUUGAUAAAUCCUUUCAUGUUUCUCAUUGUCACCCCAUGUUCCCAUUGUGCCCACUGCCCCAACAGCGUACACUAUGACAUUGUCCCCAAAUGUUCCCAGAUGCCCUUAUAUCCACAGAUGUCCUCUAUAUCCCCCAUGUCCCCAAGUAUCUUCUAUAUCCCAUUUUCCCACAUCUCCCCUGUCACCAAAUACCCUCUGUGUCCCUCACUCCACUAAAUGGCCCUGAUGCUCCCCUGGUACCCUGCCCUUGUCCUCAUCCCCCAGUGACGCUGCUGUCCCUGCUGUUCCCAGAACUCCAACCACCUCAUCUGCUCAGCCGUCUUUAGCUUUGAUGAGGGUGGAUGGCUGUGGGAGCACCUACGCUUUGUUCCCAGUGGGCUGGUGGUGACGAACGUCAACAUCCAGAGUGUGGAACCCGUGGACCAACGCACACACGAUGCACUGCAGCGCAGCGUCCAGCUGGCCAUCAAGAUCACCACCAACUCCCAGGAGGCUGCUGCCAGGUCCCCAAUUCCCCAUGUCACCCUGGGUGUGACCUGGUCCUCCUCCUGCCCCCCUAGUGUUCUUGUUGCCACAUGUCUCCUUUUGCCUCUCUGUAUGCCAUGUGUUAUCAUAUUCUCAUCUCUCCUUAUCCACUUCCUGUCCCCAAAUGUUCCCACAUGACCUCUAUAUCCCCAGGUGUCCUCUAUGUCCCCCAUGUCCCCAAAUGUCCUCUAUAUACCAUACAUCCCCAAAUUUCCUCUACAUCUCCCAUUUGCUCAAGUGUUCUCUAUAUCCCCAAGUGUCCCCAAAUAUCCUCUCUCCCUCUUGUCCACGGAUGUCCUCUGUCCCCAAGCAUCUUCCAUGUGUCCCAUGCCACCAGAUGUCCUCGAUCCCACGUCCCCAAAUGUCCUCUACAUCUCCCAUGCUUCCAAAUGUUCUCCAUAUCUUCCAUGCCCCCAAACUUCAUUCCACAUCCCCUCCAUCCCAAUGUCCCCUGUAUGUUCAGCGUCACCUGCAUCCUUCUGAUCCCUAUCAAGAUAAAAGUCUUAGUAUGGAAGAUUUAGUUAUGGCAUGCUGACUAGAAGAAAAGAAAUGACUAUUAACCUUGUACUUUUUUCUUUGUAUCUCUCAUCAUGUAGAUCUGAGUUUGAACAAAGCCUGUUGCCUUGAUCACCGCUAAACCCAUUAAAAUUGUUGCUCAGAGGUAUUGCACCUGCAUAGGAGAACUCUGUAACCUAAAUGCCGAGGGGAGAAGAAAGGGAGACUGUUAACAUUUAUUACUUCCUGUAAACUGAUAGUCAUUUGCUUCUUGUCCCAUCCAAAUCCUGUAAAGCAGGAUAACAAAGAUGUAGUGAUGUUUACAACUGUGGUAGGGAUUGCUGGAUACAACCAACCACACAAGGCUGAGCACGCUCUCCUGUCCCUUUCCCAAUUCUAGAAAUGCCCAGAGGAGCUCAGUGUUCUCUUGCUUACAUUUACUUACAUGAAGCAUUUUAAAAUGCACAUUGUCAUGUUGUAUAUGUUGUGCCUAAAGCCACAGCCCAAGAGGGUGGCACUGCCCCUGGGCAUAAAGUCCCAGCCUGAGAGGCUGGCAUCAGCCCUGGGGCUUAAAGCCACAGCCAGAGUUAGAGAGGAUGACACUGACCAUGAGGCCUGAAGCCACAGCCCCAGGGCAAGAGGCCAAUACCAGCUUUGGGCAUAAAUCCCCAGCUCCAGCCAGACAGGCUGGCAUCAGCCCUGUGUCUAAAGCCAUAGCCAGAGUGGCCGACACCAGCCCUGGGGCCUACAGGCAAAGCCCAAAAGGCCAGCACUGGCCCUGGGGCCUAAAGCCACAGUGACAACCUGAGAGGCCAACACUGGCCCCAGGGCCUGGACCCCCAGUCAGUGAGGCCGGCACUGGCCCAAGGACCUAAAAAGACAGCCUGAAAGGCUGGAACCAGUCCAGGGACUUAAAGCCAGAGCCAGUUAGAAAGGCCAGCACCAGCCCAAGGGCCUAAAGCCACAGACACAGUCAGGGAGGCCAGCAGUAGCCCUGGAACUUAAAGCCAGAGCCAGUUAGAAAGGCCAGCACCAGCCCAAGGGCCUAAAGCCACAGACACAGUCAGGGAGGCCAGCAGUAGCCCUGGAACUUAAAGCCAGAGCCAGUUAGAAAGGCCAGCACCAGCCCAAGGGCCUAAAGCCACAGACACAGUCAGGGAGGCCAGCAGUAGCCCUGGAACUUAAAGCCAGAGCCAGUUAGAAAGGCCAGCACCAGCCCAAGGGCCUAAAGCCACAGACACAGUCAGGGAGGCCAGCAGUAGCCCUGGAACUUAAAGCCAGAGCCAGUUAGAAAGGCCAGCACCAGCCCAAGGGCCUAAAGCCACAGACACAGUCAGGGAGGCCAGCAGUAGCCCUGGAACUUAAAGCCAGAGCCAGUUAGAAAGGCCAGCACCAGCCCAAGGGCCUAAAGCCACAGACACAGUCAGGGAGGCCAGCAGUAGCCCUGGAACUUAAAGCCAGAGCCAGUUAGAAAGGCCAGCACCAGCCCAAGGGCCUAAAGCCACAGACACAGUCAGGGAGGCCAGCAGUAGCCCUGGAACUUAAAGCCAGAGCCAGUUAGAAAGGCCAGCACCAGCCCAAGGGCCUAAAGCCACAGACACAGUCAGGGAGGCCAGCAGUAGCCCUGGAACUUAAAGCCAGAGCCAGUUAGAAAGGCCAGCACCAGCCCAAGGGCCUAAAGCCACAGACACAGUCAGGGAGGCCAGCAGUAGCCCUGGAACUUAAAGCCAGAGCCAGUUAGAAAGGCCAGCACCAGCCCAAGGGCCUAAAGCCACAGACACAGUCAGGGAGGCCAGCAGUAGCCCUGGAACUUAAAGCCACAACCAGAGAUGCCGGCACCGGCCCUGGGUUUUGUUUUCUACUGGUUCCAAUGGGACUCCAUUGACCACUAUGAGACCAUAUUAGUCCUUACGGGUUUUUACUGGUCCAUACUGGUACAAACUACUGGUUCCUACUGUUUCUCUGGGAUUCCAUUGACCACUAUGAGGCCAUACUGGUCUUUACUGGUUUUUAUUGGGCUGCACAGGAGUCAUCUUCACUUCUCCAUUAUUUUACUUCAGUUAAUGCCACUGGGUGACCCUGGUGUUGGUUUCCUAAAAUGUGGAUCUGGGAGGCGUCCAUUUCCUUUGCUUAUGAUGAAAGCACAGAAGCGAUGCGGGCACUCGCUGAGGUUACAAUCACUGCUGGGGUGGGAGCAUUUGUGCCACAGAUGGUGAGCAGAGCUGGUGCUCUGGUGAGCGUGCUGCACGCAGAGACUGAGCUCUGGGCCUUCCGUGGAACAGAUCACCCUGUGAGUGCCUGUCAGAAGCACUGCUGUGGUGUGUGUGUGAGCUGGGCACAGCUUGGGCUGAGCGGGCCGAGCAGGUCAGCUGGGUGUGGUGCUGGGGGGUUGCCAGGAGGUGUCUCAGCAGAAGAGCUGGGCUGGGGAGGAGCUCCCAGCUCCUGCAGUGCCCUUCUGAAUGGCUGCUUCCAGGGAAAUGUGUUCCUGUUAAGAUUCCAUCCCACCAUUCAGUAAGGAUGAUGAAAUGUCAUUCCUCCCCUGGAAAUCCGCUGCCGGGCCCCAGUCUUCAUGUCAGACGUUGAAAAGGAAGGAGAGUGCAAAUUUUACAGAGCACAGCUUGUUCCUCACUGCCCCACGGAUGGCUGGGUGCAGAGCUACUGGGGAGAUGGAGAGGAGCAUCUGCUGACACAGCCAUGGCAGUCAGACACAAGCUGGAGCUAGCGUUGCACAGCUCUUGCAGCCAGCUGAUUGCCAAACAUUGCCCUCCUCAAGAGACUACAUUGCAUGGCAAGAAGAAGGCUGGGAAGAUGAUCCUUCCUCAGGAUUUUUCACUUGUUGGUACUUUCUGCAGGGUUCCUGUCCCAAAGGAAAUUUCAGGAUCGAGGCAGUCUUAGGAAGAGUGAAGCCAGCUCUUUCCAAGGGCUGGGGAAGUUCCUGUGGAGAGAGCCUUGGGAACUUCAGUUUCCUCUGAUACUUCAGUGGCCAUGUCUCAGCAAGGAGACGACCGCAGUUCCAAUUCCUGCUGUGUGAGUGGAAAGAAGCGGUGCGGUGCGGUUCCCUGUGUUUGGGAGCAGCAGCCAGCAGGCUGCCAGAGAUCCAACUGCGCCUUGCAGCGCACAGAAGGAUGCGAUGGGGACAGACUGUCCUUUCUGCCAUGCAAAAGGACGGAGCCUGCACAUCCAUGGAGUGGUGCUGGGCGAGGGGGGAAACGGAAAGCCUCCGCAGAAGCUGAUGUGAGCGGCCUUCCAGCAAAGCGCAGCCUUGCAGAAAGACAAGGCAGAAGUGCCCAGUGUGGCACAGCACCGGAGAGAGAGAGAGGUGCUGAGCCAAAUGGAAAGAUCUACAUGAAAGUGAUGCAGAAAGUCCUUUCGGAGAGAGCUCAUCUCCAGGCUGGAGGGCUUCCUACAACAGCAGGUUCCAGUGCACGGAGAAGACCUUCCCCUGCUGUGUGUCCCUGCUCUGUCUCCAAGUCCUUGGCUGGAUGUAAACGCAAGGCGCUUGGAAGAAGAGAAACCAACAGCAGCACAGCUGCCUGCUAACAAAAGAGUGAGGGGUCAGAGCAGAGACAGCAUGCUGGCUCCAGCAGCACACCCUGGGCCUGCUGCAGCGCGGAGCUCCAAGCUAAGAGCAAGAAGACGACGACAAAAAGAGAGGAGAGGGGAAUUGAUGAAAGCUGCCCUCAGAGCUGCUGCUGCACGUGCAGAGUCCUCCGCAGUGAACAGCCUUGUGGAGAUGAUGCAGAAGCUGCAGCUGAAGGACUGAGAGGCGGAGUGUCAGGAAGCAGCGGCUGCAGUGCACGGCGUUACAGGGCAGCGCUGUGAGUGCCGCCCAACUUGGCACUCCAACUUCCGACGUAGUCAAUAAAAACCAGUUGCAAUUAGAGAUUCA